This 24-nucleotide non-coding RNA is filed under the name Arabidopsis thaliana (thale cress). The record is from RNAcentral. Lineage: Eukaryota; Viridiplantae; Streptophyta; Magnoliopsida; Brassicales; Brassicaceae.
CGGAAAGCAUUCCAAACUCGGGAC